GUAAAUCGUUUAUCUUUUGGAGAGUUUACUACCGCUUGAAGUCUAACCAGACUAUUGGUAUACUUCUCUUGCUUCUAGCAUUAACGAUGCCUGGGUAGUCUCCUCAAUAGGUCAUGUUCGUUAUAUCCCUUGUGUUUUCCCUGUACAUAUGUUUUCUACAAUUACCUGUCAAUUCUACUGUCAUUGCUAUUUGUGACCUGUUUAUUUUUCACUUAUUUUGUCAAAUUUCAAUAAAAAAAACGAUUGAAAGAAAAAAUGCUUUGGAAUGAACUCAAGGGAAUAUAGGAAGAAAAGGAUCCAGACACUAAAGGGGUUAACUGAAAUGUGAUCCGGAUUGAUAAGAUGUAGAACAAGGCCUGUCGAGGACUGCACUCCCUAUCAUCUCCCCAAGGUGGUGAUAUCACUUAUAUUGAGAGGAACACGCACUGGAAGUCUCAAUGCUCCCUUCUGACAGGAAGUGAUGUCAGGUAUAAAUAGGAAUUUCCGGGUGAGAGGCGAGUCUUGAGGAAGUAGUGAGGCGACGUUGCUGGGACAGACGAGGAGGUAAUAGGAUAUUAAAGAGUUUAUGACCUUCGAAGAGGAGCGUCCUGUACAGAUGUCAUGACCACCUCAUUGAUGAUGGACAAUGACUGGAGUCAUAGUAUGGAGAACAUAAUGAACCUCACCCUGGAGAUCAUCUACCAGCUGACCGGAGAGAGAUUUCCUCUUGUGAAGUCAGGAGAUCACAUGACCA
Molecule: long non-coding RNA, 733 nt
Organism: Rana temporaria (common frog)
Lineage: Eukaryota; Metazoa; Chordata; Amphibia; Anura; Ranidae
Exons: 3
Source: RefSeq, a predicted model, not a curated record